This is a long non-coding RNA of Gallus gallus (chicken), 674 nucleotides long. The record is from Ensembl. Lineage: Eukaryota; Metazoa; Chordata; Aves; Galliformes; Phasianidae.
GGAAAAUAAGAAGGAGGCAGGCGGGCGGGCAGACGAGCGAGAGGACAGAAGGGAAAAAGAGCCUGAGUCCCGCAGACGGGACCUGGAGGGAGUCCGGGGUAGGCGGCGGAACGUGCGGGACCCUUUUCCCGCUGACGAGCGAGAGGUAACAGCGGAAGGGACAUCCGCACACGUUGGCGAAAGCGCUGCGGGGAAUAAUGCCCAACCACCGCGAUCUUCGCGACCGACGGCAUCCUCACGUACAGUGCCCUCCGCGGCCACAGAUCUGCGGCUAAACAAACCCAAAUGAACAAAAUAAGUGCAAACCAGGCUUCUUCCUGCAAGGGACUUGAAAUGCAUGUAUGAGGAGCGUAUAGAAUAAAAGAAAAGAAAAAAAAAAAAGUGUGUUUUCAGCUCCAAAUCGCUGCAUUAACAGCAAGAGAACAAGAUCAGUAUACCUGACAGAAGGGGGCAAACUCCUGUUCGGACAGCGAUUGUUGUAUGACAAGAAGCAACAACUGCUUUGCUAUAAAAACAGUGUUUAUUACGAAGAAACCGAAUGAGCAGCCAUCCAAAUAAAUACCCCCUGCAUCCAACAAGUGCGCGGUGUUUGUGAUGUUUUGGGUGCCGCUGACCUUUCUGUCCUUUUAACCAUUACUGUGUUUUUGCUCGCCGUUAUGAACACUGUUUUCCAG